UACGUAGGGGGCAAGCGUUAUCCGGAUUUACUGGGUGUAAAGGGAGCGUAGACGGCGCGGCAAGUCUGAAGUGAAAGGCAGGGGCUUAACCCCUGAACUGCUUUGAAAACUGCCAUGCUAGAGUGCUGGAGAGGUAAGUGGAACUCCAUGUGUAGCGGUGGAAUGCGUAGAUAUAUGGAAGAACACCAGUGGCGAAGGCGGCUCUCUGGUCUGCAACUGACGCUGAGGCUCGAAAGCAUGGGUAGCAAACAGG
RNAcentral lists this ribosomal RNA (253 nucleotides) under uncultured Lachnospiraceae bacterium. Its description in RNAcentral is "partial 16S ribosomal RNA". It matches the Rfam family "Bacterial small subunit ribosomal RNA", at positions 524 to 776 of the family's 1533-position model. Lineage: Bacteria; Bacillati; Bacillota; Clostridia; Lachnospirales; Lachnospiraceae. The record is from RNAcentral.